Molecule: ribosomal RNA, 497 nt
Filed under: uncultured bacterium
Lineage: Bacteria
Description: partial 16S ribosomal RNA
Rfam family: Bacterial small subunit ribosomal RNA
Source: RNAcentral
GAUGAACGCUGGCGGCGUGCCUAAUACAUGCAAGUCGAGCGAACAGAUGAGGAGCUUGCUCCUCUGACGUUAGCGGCGGACGGGUGAGUAACACGUGGAUAACCUACCUAUAAGACUGGGAUAACUUCGGGAAACCGGAGCUAAUACCGGAUAAUAUAUUGAACCGCAUGGUUCAAUAGUGAAAGACGGUUUUGCUGUCACUUAUAGAUGGAUCCGCGUCGCAUUAGCUAGUUGGUAAGGUAACGGCUUACCAAGGCAACGAUGCGUAGCCGACCUGAGAGGGUGAUCGGCCACACUGGAACUGAGACACGGUCCAGACUCCUACGGGAGGCAGCAGUAGGGAAUCUUCCGCAAUGGGCGAAAGCCUGACGGAGCAACGCCGCGUGAGUGAUGAAGGUCUUCGGAUCGUAAAGCUCUGUUAUUAGGGAAGAACAAAUGUGUAAGUAACUAUGCACGUCUUGACGGUACCUAAUCAGAAAGCCACGGCUAACUACGUG